RNAcentral lists this ribosomal RNA (497 nucleotides) under uncultured bacterium. RNAcentral's name for it is "partial 16S ribosomal RNA". It matches the Rfam family "Bacterial small subunit ribosomal RNA", at positions 28 to 507 of the family's 1533-position model. The record is from RNAcentral.
GAUGAACGCUGGCGGCGUGCCUAAUACAUGCAAGUCGAGCGAACAGACGAGGAGCUUGCUCCUCUGACGUUAGCGGCGGACGGGUUAGUAACACGUGGAUAACCUACCUAUAAGACUGGGAUAACUUCGGGAAACCGGAGCUAAUACCGGAUAAUAUAUUGAACCGCAUCGUUCAAUAGUGAAAGACGGUUUUGCUGUCACUUAUAGAUGGAUCCGCGCCGCAUUAGCUAGUUGGUAAGGUAACGGCUUACCAAGGCAACGAUGCGUAGCCGACCUGAGAGGGUGAUAGGCAACACUGGAACUGAGACACGGUCCAGACUCCUACGGGAGGCAGAAGUAGGGAAUCUUCCGCAAUGGGCGAAAGCUUGAAGGAGCAACGACGCGUGAGUGAUGAAGGUCUUCGGAUCGUAAAACUAUGUUAUUAGGGAAGAACAAAUGUGUAAGUAACUAUGCACGUCUUGACGGUACCUAAUCAGAAAGCCACGGCUAACUACGUG